UGGACAGUACUGACGCUGAGAUGCGAAAGCGUGGGGAGCAAACAGGAUUAGAUACCUGGUAGUCACGCUGUAAACGAUGUCGAUUUGGAGUUUGUUGCCUAGAGUGAUGGGCUCCGAAGCUAACGCGAUAAAUCGACCGCCUGGGGAGUACGGCCGCAAGGUUAAAACUCAAAUGAAUUGACGGGGGCCCGCACAAGCGGUGGAGCAUGUGGUUUAAUUCGAUGCAACGCGAAGAACCUUACCUGGUCUUGACAUCCAUAGAAUUCUGCGGAGAUGUGGGAGUGCCUUCGGGAACUAUGAGACAGGUGCUGCAUGGCUGUCGUCAGCUCGUGUUGUGAAAUGUUGGGUUAAGUCCCGCAACGAGCGCAACCCUUACUCUUUGUUGCCAGCGAUUUGGUCGGGAACUCAAAGGAGACUGCCGUUGAUAAAGCGGAGGAAGGUGGGGACGACGUCAAGUCAUCAUGGCCCUUACGACCAGGGCUACACACGUGCUACAAUGGCGUAUACAAAGGGAAGCGAAGGUGCGAGCUGGAGCGGAUCUCAUAAAGUACGUCUAAGUUCGGAUUGGAGUCUGCAACUCGACUCCAUGAAGUCGGAAUCGCUAGUAAUCGUAGAUCAGAAUGCUACGGUGAAUACGUUCCCGGGCCUUGUACACACCGCCCGUCACACCAUGGGAGUGGGUUGCACCAGAAGUAGAUAGCUUAACCGCGAGGGGGGCGUUUACCACGGUGUGAUUCAUGACUGGGGUGAAGUCGUAACAAGGUAACCA
This 769-nucleotide ribosomal RNA is filed under the name uncultured Enterobacteriaceae bacterium. RNAcentral's name for it is "bacterial SSU rRNA". It matches the Rfam family "Bacterial small subunit ribosomal RNA", at positions 731 to 1502 of the family's 1533-position model. Lineage: Bacteria; Pseudomonadati; Pseudomonadota; Gammaproteobacteria; Enterobacterales; Enterobacteriaceae. The record is from RNAcentral.